UAGACGUUAAAUUUCUAUGCAUAACCACAAAAUGAUAGCCACAAGAUUGUGAAGUUCCCUUCACCAAUACAGUUCUUGCUACAGAGAAAUUUCUUACAGAGCUAUAUCUAAGAAACUGCCAACAACAGAGGCAGCCAAACGGCCCGACUCAACAAAAGCAGUAAUUUCUAAAAAACAAGAAUAGAACUUUAAUAGAAUCCAUAGAAAAUCCAAACAGCUAGAAAGCCAAAACAAGCUAGAAACAGUACCGCAUUGCGGCUUCCAUUGCCUUCAGCCUCCAUAUGCGGCCACAG
This 293-nucleotide unclassified non-coding RNA is filed under the name Hevea brasiliensis (rubber tree). Lineage: Eukaryota; Viridiplantae; Streptophyta; Magnoliopsida; Malpighiales; Euphorbiaceae. The record is from RNAcentral.